UACGUAGGGGGCAAGCGUUGUCCGGAUUUAUUGGGCGUAAAGCGCACGUAGGCGGUUCGUUAUGUCGGAUGUGAAAGCCCUUGGCUUAACCGAGGAAGUGCAUCCGAAACUGGCGAGCUAGAGUACGAAAGAGGAUCGCGGAAUUCCCGGUGUAGAGGUGAAAUUCGUAGAUAUCGGGAGGAACACCGGUGGCGAAGGCGGCGAUCUGGGUCGAUACUGACGCUGAGGUGCGAAAGCGUGGGGAGCAAACAGG
This 253-nucleotide ribosomal RNA is filed under the name uncultured bacterium. RNAcentral describes it as "partial 16S ribosomal RNA". It matches the Rfam family "Bacterial small subunit ribosomal RNA", at positions 524 to 776 of the family's 1533-position model. The record is from RNAcentral.